Molecule: transfer RNA, 77 nt
Filed under: Candidatus Kuenenbacteria bacterium
Lineage: Bacteria; Candidatus Kueneniibacteriota
Description: tRNA-Met
Rfam family: tRNA
About the family: Transfer RNA (tRNA) molecules are approximately 80 nucleotides in length. Their secondary structure includes four short double-helical elements and three loops (D, anti-codon, and T loops).
Source: RNAcentral
GGCGGGGUAGCUCAGCCGGUUAGAGCGCGGCACUCAUAACGCCGAGGUCGAGGGUUCGAGACCCUCCCCCGCUACCA